AUUCCUUGUCAUUGUUCAGCGAGCUAAUCAAAAAUACAGACAACUGCUCCCGGCUUUCUAGGGAGAGGGUCUGCGCGACGUGCUCCCUUCGAGAGCGCUCGCUACCUGUUGAGGCUGCAAAAUGGGGCGACAUCAAGUGAGCCUCAGAACAAAAACCCCUCGGAAUUGCUCGAGUUGAAACACCUGUGUUCCCCCUUUUGGGAAAGCCUGUGCUUUAGGCAGGCCUUUGCUACAAGGCUUGACACUCGAUGUGUGCGCAUUAAGCCUCCAAUUGCCUCCAAGCUGACAGUUGUUCGGGAAUAUUAACCACUUGCCUGCCAAGCGUUCAGGAUGGAGCUGGAUUGAGAACAUGAUUCUGCAUUUUCCAAAGUUAGAGUGUUCUCCCAAAGGAAGAUAUUGAUGAAUGAAUGCUCCAAGUGAUUGCAGAUAUACAGAUGAUAUGAAAGGACAGGAGAAGAAUCCUUCAGUAGGAGAAAACUAGAACCAGAAGGAAUAUUGGGGAUUUUCUAAAGCUCAUCCCCUUUGUCCAACAGAUGGGGAAACUGAGACUCAAUAAGGGUCUCCAUUCUGGUAUGGUACCAGACUAUUGGAAUAUGAAAACAAAAAUGGCGCCGCCUCUGCCUUCGAAGAACUUGCACACUCUCUUGGUUUUCAGCGUGCACCAUUGGGGAGAGUUCAUCUAUCAUUAGUUCUACUAAAGUCUAGACCUCCUUUUAACAUAUUGGAC
This 727-nucleotide long non-coding RNA is filed under the name Monodelphis domestica (gray short-tailed opossum). RNAcentral's name for it is "lncRNA (ENSMODG00000036763.1)". Lineage: Eukaryota; Metazoa; Chordata; Mammalia; Didelphimorphia; Didelphidae. The record is from RNAcentral.